Long non-coding RNA from Papaver somniferum (opium poppy), 2084 nucleotides. RefSeq lists it as uncharacterized. NCBI's taxonomy places the organism in Eukaryota, Viridiplantae, Streptophyta, Magnoliopsida, Ranunculales, Papaveraceae. The record is from RefSeq and is a predicted model, not a curated record. The transcript is spliced from 3 exons.
UCAACACCUCUCUUCUCUCCAACCUUAACCUCAAACCCUAGCUGCGGUUUUUCUUUCCACUCUUCUAAAACCCUCAUUAAUCACUGCCAAUGUUUUAGCUUAUCAUCUGAAUCAAUAAAUCUGUCUGAUUUCAUCAUAUAUGUUUGUAAUUUCUGGUGGGUUUUGAUCUGUUUUUCAAAUCUGUACAUGAAGUGAGGGUUUCUUUUGCAAUGUCUGCUUACACAGACUCAGGGAAAUAAACAAAAUCAAGCUUGAAAUUUGCUUCAUAAAUCAGUUGUGAGGGAAGAAUUGAGAAGCAUGGCUAAGCUGUUUUGAGUCUGGAACAGAAACUGAUUCAAAUGGCUCUAAAUCUGAGUCAACAGCAGGUGUCUUUCAAUGUCAAAACCUGACUGCCGCUUAGAGCCAACAUUAACUUUACCAGAGUAAGAUUGCUUGUAACUCACUUAUAUGUUGCUAGCCACAAUAUCUGGCUACAUUUCCAGACCCAAAUAUGUUUCAUUUACUUAGUGCCUCUCUUGGAAAUAUUUGAUUUAGGAUUACAAUUUUGACAUCUAUUUAUUUUCAAGUUUUUUUUUUUUUGGAGAUUUGUGUGCCUUUUUAUAAUAUCAGUUUCCAUUUAUUAUCUGCAUGUUGCACCCCGGGCUUCUCUGAAAUAUACAAUGACGAAAAAAGCCCCAAUGCUCAUGCUAAAUUUUAGCUGUUUAGUGUUGCAGGUUCGCUUAGUUCUUCAACAGCUUAUUUGUGUCAAAAUAACUGCCACAUUUCCUUAUUGUUUUAGUAUUAAAAGUUGCUUAUCAAGUUACGGUUUUGUCGAUGUCAUGUUCUGGUUUAAUUUGAUUCUAUAUCAAAUAUACAAGUAUCUACUGAUCAGAUUAAAAGGCUAAUGAUGAUAAAUUUUUAUAUCUUAGCGGAUUUCAGUGAGAUUUUAUCAAUGAUCUGAAUGUUACACACACUGAAGUCUAAAUCUUUUCUUAUUGAUAUACUUCCAUAACAUGCUUCGAAAUUAUAUUCUCCCAAGUACUGAGGUUCUGUUUUGUUUAAAUUAGUAUAAAAUGCCGAUGAUGACUACACAUAGACCUGUAAUGAUUGCGGAGAUGACCGCACAAUUUGAACAUCUAAGGGGCUGAGGCAUUUAUAAGUAUUCCACAUCUGUUUAGUCAAGCUCUUUUGUUAUUUUUUUUGGAGGUUUGUAUUCUUUGUUUACAGCAUGUUAAUUUUUUUCCGUUCUAGUUGGUUUCAUUUUCCAUGUAUUGUCCGCAUGUUGCACCCCGGGCUUCUCCGAAAUAUAUGAUGACGAAAAAAGCCCCAAUGCUCAUGCUAAAUUUGUGCCGUUUAGUGUUGCAGGUUCGCUUAGUUCUUCAACAGCUUAUUUGUGUCAAAAUAACUGCCACAUUCCUUAUUGUCUUUGUCUUAGAGAGUAGUUUCAAAAGUUGCUUAUUCAGUUCAUUGUUAAGGUUCUGUUGAUGUCAUGUAUUCUGGUUUGGUUUGAUUCUAUCAAUAGAUUAGAUUAAAAGGCUAAUGAUGAUAAAUUUUAUAUCUUACCGGAUUUCAGUGAGAUUUUAUCAAUGAUCUGAAUGUUACACACUGAUGCCUAAAUCUUUGCUUAUUGAUCUACUUCCAGAACUUGCUUCAAGAUUAUUUUCUUCCAAAUAUCGAGAUUUUGCCUUGCUAUUUUGUGGUUGCUAUGGUGUCACAUUUGGGCUUGGAUUGUUUUUCUGAGGAUAAUUAAGAUGGAAGUGAUGAUCCUUUCCCCAGCUGAUCGACUAAGAUUAUAAUGUGCGUUUUGUUUAAAUCUCUUUUUCAACAGAAGAGGUUUUCCAAGCCAGUACUCUGAUCCAUCUUUACAUUCCUCUAUAUAUAAAAUUGUUUUUUAUUUAUUUCUUACAAAAGCUUUUAUUUGCUUACUGUUGGCCAUGUAGAUUUGAUCUCUUUUGCUGUUAAAAAAUGAGUUUGUUGAUUGUUAAUGAUGAUAAAUCUAAGGCUUGUUUCUCAAGAACAUUCGCAGUUGCCGCCUAAGAGCUUUCGCCUUUCGCCGGGCUUGAGAGCUAAUGCUGCUUUAUUCCUUCCUUGGAUGUCUGAAACAU